UAUGUGAUCGUCUCUCGCAUAUCAAUAAGCGGAGGAAAAGAAACUAACAAGGAUUCCCCUAGUAACGGCGAGUGAAGCGGGAAGAGCUCAAAUUUGAAAUCUUAAAGGGUUUCCCUUUACGAAUUGUAGUUUAAAGAAGUGUUUUCUGUUGAGGUUUUGGUAAAAGUUCUUUGGAAUAGGACAUCAUAGAGGGUGAGAAUCCCGUAUUUGACCUUUACUUUCAACUUUGUGAUACACUUUCAAAGAGUCGGAUUGUUUGGGAAUGCAGUCCAAAAUGGGUGGUAAAUUUCAUCUAAAGCUAAAUAUUGGCGAGAGACCGAUAGCGAACAAGUACCGUGAGGGAAAGAUGAAAAGAACUUUGAAAAGAGAGUUAAACAGUACGUGAAAUUGUCAAAAGGGAAGCGUUUGACACCAGUGUUGUUUUUCUGAAAAUCAAUUAAAGAACUGUUUAUGCUAAGUUGUUUAGACUUUAUCAGCUAUCUGUUUAGUUUUGAGCUUUUCUUUAAUGCACUUUUCAGUUAACAAGUCAACAUCAAUUUCUUUUGCUGUAAAAAAGCUUGAGGAAGGUGGCUUGAGAUUCGUCUUAAGUGUUUAUAGCCUCUUGCCUAUGCAGUCGGAGAGAUUGAGGUCUGCAGCGUAGAUCCUUCGGGGCUAAAUGCAUUUGUGCUAAGUUAUAGCAUUUUAUAGACAACUUGUUGACUAUGAUUUGUCUUGUAGCUUACUCGCUUAUGUUAUUUUACCUACGCUUAGGAUGUUGAUCUACAGAGCGAGAG
RNAcentral lists this ribosomal RNA (773 nucleotides) under uncultured Neocallimastigales. RNAcentral describes it as "partial large subunit ribosomal RNA". It matches the Rfam family "Eukaryotic large subunit ribosomal RNA", at positions 24 to 634 of the family's 3401-position model. The record is from RNAcentral. Lineage: Eukaryota; Fungi; Neocallimastigomycota; Neocallimastigomycetes; Neocallimastigales.